This 85-nucleotide transfer RNA is filed under the name Lentinula edodes (shiitake mushroom). RNAcentral's name for it is "tRNA-His". It matches the Rfam family "tRNA". Rfam says of the family: Transfer RNA (tRNA) molecules are approximately 80 nucleotides in length. Their secondary structure includes four short double-helical elements and three loops (D, anti-codon, and T loops). Further hydrogen bonds mediate the characteristic L-shaped molecular structure. tRNAs have two regions of fundamental functional importance: the anti-codon, which is responsible for specific mRNA codon recognition, and the 3' end, to which the tRNAs corresponding amino acid is attached (by aminoacyl-tRNA synthetases). tRNAs cope with the degeneracy of the genetic code in two manners: having more than one tRNA (with a specific anti-codon) for a particular amino acid; and 'wobble' base-pairing, i.e. permitting non-standard base-pairing at the 3rd anti-codon position. Lineage: Eukaryota; Fungi; Basidiomycota; Agaricomycetes; Agaricales; Omphalotaceae. The record is from RNAcentral.
GUCCCCGUAGAUUAGUGGUUAGAUCAUCACGUUGUGGCAACUCAACGCAUCCGUGGAGACCCAGGCUCGACUCCUGGCAGGGACA